Molecule: long non-coding RNA, 3361 nt
Filed under: Solanum tuberosum (potato)
Lineage: Eukaryota; Viridiplantae; Streptophyta; Magnoliopsida; Solanales; Solanaceae
Description: long non-coding RNA (STUB_LNC010202)
Source: RNAcentral
UUGUGAAAUCUGACACAACUGAUGAGGAGGCUAAGAAGAAGAAGGCUAGGUUGACUAGGUUUGCGCCACCAGGGAAGGCUGAUCCAGUGGAGGAAGAUAAAAGGAAAGCUAGGGCUCUCAGGUUGUAAAAAGUUAAAAUUGUUCAUUUUCUCUUAUUACACCUUGGAAUCUGCACAAUAUUUUCCAUCCAUAUAUCAGUAAGAAUCUAUGGAUAAAUGAGUGUUUGUCAGAUUUAUGACUUAAAUCUGAUAGUCAUGUACUAUUUUUUUUAUAAUAGGUUUUCACAACCCCAGCCUGGUUCACAACCCCAGCCUGGUUCACAACCACAAGCAAAUGGCAAAGGAAAUAUUGAGCAGGUUUGUUUUUGUUUUAUAAGCAGUGCACAAGGUUUGGCCCAAAGAAAAAGAGAAGUGACAUCAUUAUGCAUUUGAAUGUUAUUUACUUUAAUUAUUCGCUUGGUAUUCAUGAUCUGAGAGGCAGAUCUUGUGUCACCUCCUCAUCUAAUAGUUUAAGCUAUUAAAGAGGAAAACUUUUAUUUAUUUUGGUCUUCAACACUUCGCACGAUUGCUUAGGCCUCCUGAGAUUGAAUGGCUAAUCCUGUAUAAGUCUCUCAAUCUGUCAAUGAGUUCUCUUUAUUCUGUUGUAUAUUUUCUACAGCUCAAGAAAAGGAUUAUAUAAGGAAAGAGGUGCACCAACUCACAAAAAUGCAGUGUGCAGUCGGGUGGGGGGUCUCAGACAGAAAAGAAUAGGAAUAGAAGUUUGACCUUGCUUCUCUCUCUUGGAUUGCCAUGCUAAAAUAGAAAAGAAGAGGAACACUAUUCUAGCUUCUCUUCCAUAACUUUCACUAGGCAAGAGGUCAAAAAUAAAAGGAAGAUUCAACAAACAAAAGAAGCAUCUAAAGGAUCUUCUUUUUUUGAUUCUUCAUUCUUUAAACUCAUAACGGUGGCUGAUUUUAUAGUAUUUACCUUCAACUCCUUAUAAUUUCUUCUUCUGCCCCUUUUCAUUUUUAAAAUCAUUCCCUUCAUCUUUGGAUACAAUCCUAAGUGGGUUCACCUUUUCUGGGGUUUGGUAAACCCUGGGUCCAUACAAGCACACUUGUAUUGAAACCCAUAUUUGUGAACAUGGGUCUUCUAGUUUAACUUUAAAAAUCCACUGCUGAAUGAGUAGUAGUAAAAUACCUCACACAGGUUUCCACAAAAUCAUUCUCAGUUUCCUUACUCUGUUAGUUGCUGUUCGUCUCUGAUUUCGGAGUAUGGUAAGCUGUUUGAGCUCAAGAUUCUUGGGAAUUACAACAAUGUCUAGUCCUGUAGCCAACACUAUUUGUCAUCUUUGUUGUGUUGGAUGGGAAGUUCUUAUGUAUCCUGUUUGUGGUUGUGUAGUGUGUCAUAUAUAGGUUGGUCAUUUUUAAAGGACGAAACAUCAAGAUCAAUUGUGAAGUUGGUACUUAUUUUAAAUGACUGUGGUCAAUGAAGUGGGUUGAGAACCCUGACCUACUUCCGUCCAAGCCUUUUUAGACAAAGUUACUUGGUAUGUAUGCUUGUGGGAGGUAGCAUGUAUCCCAUGGAAUUAGUCAAAGUGUACUCUAGUGGUCUGGACACCAUAGUUAUAAAAAAAACUAUUACGUUAGUGUAGUGACUGACAUUUAGUGAAUGGUUUUUUCUUUUGGGCUCAGUAAUUGUUUUUAUACUUCCAUAGAUAUUAAACAUUUGUUGUUUGUUUGUUGAGUGGUUAUCACCGUCAGGAUUCUGUACUCACUGUUUUCAAAUUCUGGAUCCCUCUUUGUUUGGUUCUUUCUUUCUUUCUUCCUCUACAAGCAACAAUGCCUCACCCCCAAACAAUUUGGGAUCAGCUAUAUGAACUCCAACUGUCCAUGUUUCUUCUUUUGAGCACAACUCAUGUCAUCAUCAUACCAAAUAAAAAUAUAAGUGAAAGAUAAGUAAAAUAUAUAUAUAUAUAUUAAAAAUAACAACAACAACGAUUCUCUAUAUUUUUACUGGCAUAUAGAUCUAUGAUAAGGUCAAGUACAUCUACAAAAGCAAUAGGUUCACAAUUAACGUUCUAACAAAGACAAAAAACUUAUUUCCAACUAGUGUAUAUCAUCUGUAGGGAUCUUUCUCUAAUUUCUUUAUGUAGUGUAAUAGCUUUUUCCUAAUCUAUGGAUAUAUUUAAUUCAGGAAGCUGUUGCUGUGGACAAGGCUGGAGAACCUGAAUGAUUCCAAACUUCAUAACGAGUAAGACUUGCUUGAUUGUAUAGUUUACUGUUGUUGGGUUGUGGUUAGGGGCCUUGUUAACUGCAGAAUUGGAGUUCCUCAUCUUUUAACCACUUCUUUCCAAUUCUUGCAGGUUGGUGGGCUUGGAUCCUAAAGUUUUUGACCUUUCCGUAGUUUAUAUAAAUUUUGGCUUUCGAAUUACUGCACAAAAGGCUUUUCGGGUCUUCCUAAAAUAGCAUACUAUGUGUUUCUGGAGAGCACUAGGAUAAUUGACAACCACCUCCUUGGCAUCAAACUACCGGAAAUGACCCAUGAUCAAUAUUAAAAAUGAUGAAACUACAACCAAAGUAUCCUUCUUGAAGGGUUUGAUUUGACGACUUCAUCAUCAAUCUCUAAGUUAUUAAUCUGCAUUAUAUGUCACGUUUAUAUUGUAAUGCAUUGUCCUUUAACAUAGUAAAAACAUAGACUCCUGUUGCAUGUCAAGGAUCAACCAGUGCUAGAUUUUUAGUUUUGAUUUACCCAAGUGGUUCAGAGUAGAUUGGAGAUUGCUUGAUGUUAAAACUUAAUGUUCCCCAUGGUUAGAGGUUUUCAUUGAUUUGGCUGUUUAAUUCAACCUUAUUGACUCUAAUAGCUGAAGUGGGAAGUGUAGUGCAUCUUGUGUUUUCUAGCAUCUAAGUAUUUAUCUUGCUCUUAAAGAUCCAAGAAAUCUGUACUUCUCUUUGAUGCAUCAUAUGGUUUGGCCAUGCUAUAUUCAAUAUUCUUGUUGGGUUCUCCAUAGUUAGAAAGGUAAGACUAGUUAUAUGUGUUGCGAUAUAUAUUUACUACUUGCUAGUGCAUCUCAUGGUUGUGAAACUUGUUUGCACACUGCUGGAGUUAUAUGAUGGUCAAGUCGUCAAAUCCACAUUCCUUCAAACUGGUUCUUUUUUGGGUUUGCUGUUUUUCUUAUGAAAGGUUCAAUGGUUUAAGAGCUUUCGAAGUUUUCUUAAAAUUUUGAUGUGGGUCAUUUCGGACAGAUUGACACUAAGGAGGUGUUGUUCAACUACCUAGUAUCUCCAGGUAAAUCUUGUAGGCUGCAGUCGAUGGCCAUGUAGAAGUAGGUUUAAUGUAUUACGAAGACAUCUAGUUAUGUGUUUAUUCUUCUUGUUAUGUUA